GGUGGCUCAGUGGUAGAGUGCUUGCCUUGCAUGCAUGAGGCCUUGGGUUCGAUUCCUCAGCACCA
Molecule: non-coding RNA, 65 nt
Organism: Dipodomys ordii (Ord's kangaroo rat)
Lineage: Eukaryota; Metazoa; Chordata; Mammalia; Rodentia; Heteromyidae
Source: Rfam